AGAGUUUGAUCAUGGCUCAGAACGAACGCUGGCGGCAGGCCUAACACAUGCAAGUCGAGCGCCCCCGCAAGGGGGAGCGGCGGACGGGUGAGUAACGCGUGGGAAUUUUCCUCAAGGUACGGAACAACUCAGGGAAACUUGGGCUAAUACCGUAUGAUGUCUAGCGACCAAAGAUUUAUCGCCUUGGGAUAAGCCCGCGUCAGAUUAGGUAGUUGGUGGGGUAACGGCCUACCAAGCCUGCGAUCUGUAGCUGGUCUGAGAGGACGAUCAGCCACACUGGGACUGAGACACGGCCCAGACUCCUACGGGAGGCAGCAGUGGGGAAUCUUGCGCAAUGGGCGAAAGCCUGACGCAGCCAUGCCGCGUGAAUGAUGAAGGUCUUAGGAUUGUAAAGUUCUUUCGCUCGUGACGAUGAUGACGGUAACGAGAGAGAG
RNAcentral lists this ribosomal RNA (434 nucleotides) under uncultured Phenylobacterium sp. RNAcentral describes it as "bacterial SSU rRNA". It matches the Rfam family "Bacterial small subunit ribosomal RNA", at positions 8 to 488 of the family's 1533-position model. The record is from RNAcentral. Lineage: Bacteria; Pseudomonadati; Pseudomonadota; Alphaproteobacteria; Caulobacterales; Caulobacteraceae.